This 63-nucleotide transfer RNA is filed under the name Scutigera coleoptrata (house centipede). Its description in RNAcentral is "transfer RNA-Trp(UGA)". The record is from RNAcentral. Lineage: Eukaryota; Metazoa; Arthropoda; Chilopoda; Scutigeromorpha; Scutigeridae.
AGAGUUUUAAGUUAAAUAAACUAAUAACCUUCAAAGUUAUAAAUAUAGAAAUUUUAAACUCUA